GUAGGUGAACCUGCGGAAGGAUCAUUAUUGAACUCAUCUACUGGGUUGCUGCUGGUUCCACUAUGGUUCAUGUGCACGCCUAGUUCUUGAUCUCUUUUCCACCUGUGCACUUUUGUAGGCCAUUCUGCGCCUUGGUUGAUUGUCUGUUGGGUCAAGGUCUUGCUUUUGUGAGGCUUUUGGAUUGGAGGACUGGGUUAUUGAGUUAGCUCUUCUUCUAGGACUUUCAGCUGAGCACGGAUUAGGUGUCUAC
Molecule: unclassified non-coding RNA, 250 nt
Filed under: plant metagenome
Description: partial contains small subunit ribosomal RNA, internal transcribed spacer 1, and 5.8S ribosomal RNA
Source: RNAcentral